UUCAUUCUCAGCUCCGCCACGUCUUAUCUGAGCACGAUGCUUUAGAAAGGAUGAGAGAAGAUGCGGAAGAGAAGGCAAUCGUCCUACAUUUGAUGGCCCCACCUUUAGGCUGUCUUCAAAGUCCAAUAGGGUAUUAACAUCACUUAGAACUUUGGCACAUAUGCACAGCAACAAUAACUGAGACUUCCACACCUGCCCGUUAGGGAGAAUCUUCUCUCCAGCAUUAUUG
This 229-nucleotide unclassified non-coding RNA is filed under the name Hevea brasiliensis (rubber tree). The record is from RNAcentral. Lineage: Eukaryota; Viridiplantae; Streptophyta; Magnoliopsida; Malpighiales; Euphorbiaceae.